This 254-nucleotide ribosomal RNA is filed under the name uncultured bacterium. RNAcentral describes it as "partial 16S ribosomal RNA". It matches the Rfam family "Bacterial small subunit ribosomal RNA", at positions 524 to 776 of the family's 1533-position model. The record is from RNAcentral.
UACGUAGGGGGCAAGCGUUGUCCGGAUUUAUUGGGCGUAAAGAGCGUGUAGGCGGUUUGGUAGGUCCGCUGUGAAAACUCGAGGCUCAACCUCGAGACGCCGGUGGAAACCAUCAGGCUAGAGUCCGGAAGAGGAGAGUGGAAUUCCUGGUGUAGCGGUGAAAUGCGCAGAUAUCAGGAAGAACACCCGUGGCUAAGGCUGGCUCUCUAGUACGGUACUGACGCUGAGACGCGAAAGCGUGGGGAGCGAACAGG